This 816-nucleotide ribosomal RNA is filed under the name Triticum aestivum (bread wheat). RNAcentral's name for it is "partial small subunit ribosomal RNA". Lineage: Eukaryota; Viridiplantae; Streptophyta; Magnoliopsida; Poales; Poaceae. The record is from RNAcentral.
AUGUCUGAAGUUUGGCCUCUCCCAUGUUUAUCUACCCUGCAAAAUAACAGGGAUGAGUGGCUGUUGCAUGCGCUUGAACCGCUACAGGAGAUUGAGAGAUCUAUGUUAUUGCUAUCCAUGUGGAGGGUAUGGCAUAUACGCAAUGAGGUCGUACACCAUAAACCAGCCCCGCCUAUGGAAGCGUCGAAAAGAUUCUUGGUAAGCUAUUUGGACUCUCUGAUUGGUAUUAAAAUUGAUCUCUCUACUGAUCCACGCAAAGGCAAGUCUACCAUCACAUAUGAAAGACGGAGUCCACAUAUGAUAAUGGAAAAAAAGGUUACUAAGUGGUCAGCGCCAAAGUCCGGAUGGGUGAAGCUUAAUGCUGAUGGGUCUUUUGCGGACGACGGAACAGCUGGCGCUGGAAUGGUCCUACGUGAUGAUAAGGGAGCGAUAAUUUUUUCCUCUUGCAUGCAAUUGUUCUCUUGCCGUGAGGCACUGGAAGCUGAGUUAUGUGCCUGUAUGGAAGGUUUGUCGUUUGCCAUCCAGAGAAGUGAGCUACCGGUCAUCGUGGAAAUGGACUCAAUUGUGGCGGUGAAGAUGAUCCAAGCUUCGGAGGUUGACCGAUCCAUUUACUCGUCCAUCAUAAAGGAGAUUAAAUAUCUUAUGUCUCUUCGUGAAGUUUGUAUUACUCAUGUAAAUCGUAGCCAGAAUAAGGUUAGUGAUAGCUUAGCUAAUUUUGCUCGUAUUGAGGGUAAAACCAUGACUUGGUUGGGCUCUGGACCUCACAUAUCCAUAGAGUUGGCUGCGAUGGACUGUACAAGUGUAGAGAUUGAGUAA